GAUGAAGAACGCAGCGAAAUGCGAUAAGUAAUGUGAAUUGCAGAAUUCAGUGAAUCAUCGAAUCUUUGAACGCACAUUGCGCCCGCCAGUAUUCUGGCGGGCAUGCCUGUCUGAGCGUCAUUUCAACCCUCAUGCCCCUAGGGCGUGGUGUUGGGGAUCGGCCAAAGCCCGCGAGGGACGGCCGGCCCCCAAAUCUAGUGGCGGACCCGUCGUGGCCUCCUCUGCGAAGUAGUGAUAUUCCGCAUCGGAGAGCGACGAGCCCCUGCCGUUAAACCCCCAACUUUCCAAGGUUGACCUCAGAUCAGGUAGGAAUACCCGCUGAACUUAAGCAUAUCAAUAAGCGGAGGA
RNAcentral lists this unclassified non-coding RNA (348 nucleotides) under soil metagenome. RNAcentral's name for it is "partial contains 5.8S ribosomal RNA, internal transcribed spacer 2, and large subunit ribosomal RNA". The stretch from base 1 to 120 matches the Rfam family "5.8S ribosomal RNA", at positions 35 to 154 of the family's 154-position model. The record is from RNAcentral.